RNAcentral lists this ribosomal RNA (467 nucleotides) under uncultured bacterium. Its description in RNAcentral is "partial 16S ribosomal RNA". It matches the Rfam family "Bacterial small subunit ribosomal RNA", at positions 28 to 506 of the family's 1533-position model. The record is from RNAcentral.
GACGAACGCUGGCGGCGUGCUUAACACAUGCAAGUCGAACGGAAAGGCCCUGCUUUUGCGGGGUGCUCGAGUGGCGAACGGGUGAGUAACACGUGAGUAACCUGCCCUUGACUUUGGGAUAACUUCAGGAAACUGGGGCUAAUACCGGAUAGGAGCUCCUGCUGCAUGGUGGGGGUUGGAAAGUUUCGGCGGUUGGGGAUGGACUCGCGGCUUAUCAGCUUGUUGGUGGGGUAGUGGCUUACCAAGGCUUUGACGGGUAGCCGGCCUGAGAGGGUGACCGGCCACAUUGGGACUGAGAUACGGCCCAGACGCCUACGGGAGGCAGCAGUGGGGAAUAUUGCACAAUGGGCGGAAGCCUGAUGCAGCAACGCCGCGUGCGGGAUGACGGCCUUCGGGUUGUAAACCGCUUUCGCCUGUGACGAAGCGUGAGUGACGGUAAUGGGUAAAGAAGCACCGGCUAACUACGU